AUGGACACGUGCAUACAUGUUUGGUUGGAUGCUUUUGAGGGAGAAAAUAAGAAGAAAAUUUUUGUCGGAAUAGCGGCACUAAUCUGGAGCAUUUGGAAAACUAGAAACUCAGCGUGCUUUCAACAUGUCUGGCCUAAUGACCCAAGUGUAAUGAUGUUUAGAAUGUCACAUUGGAUUAAUGAUUGGAGUUGCUUGCAGGUGAGGGAGGACGCAAAAGUGGAGCUGCAACGGGGCGCAAAGCUGCUGGACCGAGUCGCUAGUGAUCUUUUCCAAUCAAGACGAGGAUGGGCGACUUGGGUGCCAAGACUGGAGGAGGGUUGA
This 321-nucleotide ribosomal RNA is filed under the name Triticum aestivum (bread wheat). Its description in RNAcentral is "partial small subunit ribosomal RNA". The record is from RNAcentral. Lineage: Eukaryota; Viridiplantae; Streptophyta; Magnoliopsida; Poales; Poaceae.